This 812-nucleotide long non-coding RNA is filed under the name Parus major (Great Tit). RNAcentral's name for it is "lncRNA (ENSPMJG00000004980.1)". The record is from RNAcentral. Lineage: Eukaryota; Metazoa; Chordata; Aves; Passeriformes; Paridae.
CUUGCAGGUUUAUCAGGCCCAUCUCAGAUUUGCUCCAGGAACUUUGACUUCUGGCAACUCUUUUGUCCAGAGUGGGCUUUGUUCCACUUGGGCUUUUAAAUGCACAUAUUUGAAUUACUGCAUCAACCUACGCACAAUCUCAUAUAAAUUUAUAUUAAACUUGCACAGUUUAUUACAUUUUGAGGAUGGGGAGGUCGUGGAAUGGAAUUCCAGAGAAGCUGUGGCUGCUCCUGGAUCCCUGGGAGUGUCCAAGGCCAGGCUGGAUGGGGGUUGAGCAACCUGGGACAGUGAGAGGUGACCCUGCCUCCCUCCUGAUUUCAUCUGAGGUUUCCAAAACCUGAUGGAGGAAUUUGGUCACGUCUUCAUCUAUUGCAAGUGACAUUUGGGCUGCCCCAUCUGCAAAACACCUGAUGGCAUCAUGAGCUGCUCUGGGAAACAUCUGGUCUUGAGAGUUUAUGUGACAGUUCUUCACUUUUCUGAAUCCUCCUGAUAAUAUUUAUGGGAAUCUUUGAGCCACUGUUUUGAACACGUGCAGAGGGAAUGGUUGUAAAUGAACAUCCAAGUUCUGCAAUGCAAACUGAAAAGCCAACUCAUCAAAUUCACAAUCUGGGAUUUUUUUUGAAGUAUAAAUUAUAUUUCUCUGAUCCCUGGGCUGGGGGACCACAGAGCUCUGAUUUCACAAAUCUUUCCCUGCAAUGAGCCAAGAGAUUGAAAAUGGAUCAAGACUUUUUUGGAUUUUUAACACACUUCUGGAGAGGUAGAUUUGAAAAGUACAAUUUUGUUUCUUCUGGGAGGGUUGUUUAAUAUCAUUU